This 253-nucleotide ribosomal RNA is filed under the name uncultured bacterium. Its description in RNAcentral is "partial 16S ribosomal RNA". It matches the Rfam family "Bacterial small subunit ribosomal RNA", at positions 524 to 776 of the family's 1533-position model. The record is from RNAcentral.
GACAGAGGUCCCAAGCGUUAGGCGGAAUCACUGGGCUUAAAGCGUGUGUAGGCGGAUUUGUAAGUACCUUGUGAAAUCCCACGGCUCAACCGUGGAACUGCUUGGUAUACUGCUUAUCUUGGGUCAUCUAGGGGCUACCGGAACAAGUGGUGUAGCAGUGAAAUGCGUAGAUAUCAAGAGGAACACCAGUGGCGAAGGCGAGUCCCUGGACAACACCUGACACUGAGGCACGAAAGCCGGGGGAGCAAACAGG